AUCCUCGCUUCAUGAGGACAUAUACUGAAAUUGAAACUAAACAGAGAAGUUUAGCAUGGCCCCUGCGUAAGGUUGACACACAAAUCCGUGAAGUGUUAUAUAUAUAU
Rana temporaria (common frog) is the source of this 107-nucleotide small nuclear RNA. Lineage: Eukaryota; Metazoa; Chordata; Amphibia; Anura; Ranidae. The record is from RefSeq and is a predicted model, not a curated record.